Molecule: ribosomal RNA, 322 nt
Filed under: uncultured eukaryote
Lineage: Eukaryota
Description: partial 18S ribosomal RNA
Rfam family: Eukaryotic small subunit ribosomal RNA
Source: RNAcentral
CCCUUAGAUGUUCUGGGCCGCACGCGUGCUACACUGAGUGGAUCAGCGGGUCAGGUUGCGCGAAAGCGUUUCCUAAUCUUUAAAUCCGCUCGUGAUGGGGAUUGACGGUUGCAAUUUUCUGUCAUGAACGAGGAAUACCUUGUAAGCGCGGGUCAUCAUCCCGCGCUGAAUACGUCCCUGCCCUUUGUACACACCGCCCGUCGCUCCUACCGAUUGAGUGGUCCGGUGAGGCUUUGGGAUCUGAGCGGAAAGAGCGUUUCGCUGUUUCUGCUCGGAAAACUCAGUCGAACCUUAUCAUUUAGAGGAACGAGAAGUCGUAACA